GAUUAAACAGGAUCGUUGUGAUUGUGAUCAAUCGUACGGACCACAUCGGAGUCUGCAGAUAGGUUCUAAACAGCAAUUCCACUCACAACUACGAGGAGUGACGAAGACCAGCAGUUGUGACGAAGUAUCUUGAGUCGAACAUUAGGGUGGCUCACCACCACAUAAUUCGCUGCAGAGACGAGUGAAACAUAUCAUUGUUCCUUCGCUAUUUCUAGG
Molecule: long non-coding RNA, 216 nt
Organism: Topomyia yanbarensis
Lineage: Eukaryota; Metazoa; Arthropoda; Insecta; Diptera; Culicidae
Exons: 3
Source: RefSeq, a predicted model, not a curated record